AUUGAACGCUGGCGGAAUGCUUUACACAUGCAAGUCGAACGGCAGCACGGACUUCGGUCUGGUGGCGAGUGGCGAACGGGUGAGUAAUGUAUCGGAACGUGCCCAGUCGUGGGGGAUAACGUAGUGAAAAUUACGCUAAUACCGCAUACGAUCUAUGGAUGAAAGCGGGGGAUCGCAAGACCUCGCGCGAUUGGAGCGGCCGAUAUCAGAUUAGGUAGUUGGUGGGGUAAAGGCCACCAAGCCAACGAUCUGUAGCUGGUCUGAGAGGACGACCAGCCACACUGGAACUGAGACACGGUCCAGACUCCUACGGGAGGCAGCAGUGGGGAAUUUUGGACAAUGGGCGAAAGCCUGAUCCAGCCAUUCCGCGUGCAGGAUGAAGGCCCUCGGGUUGUAAACUGCCUUUGUACAGAACGAAAAGGUUUCUACUAAUAUUAGGAGCUCAUGACGGUACUGUAAGAAUAAGCACCGGCUAACUACGUGCCAGCCGCCGCGGUAA
Molecule: ribosomal RNA, 499 nt
Filed under: uncultured bacterium
Lineage: Bacteria
Description: partial 16S ribosomal RNA
Rfam family: Bacterial small subunit ribosomal RNA
Source: RNAcentral